UACGUAGGGGGCUAGCGUUAUCCGGAAUUACUGGGCGUAAAGGGUGCGUAGGUGGUUUCUUAAGUCAGAGGUGAAAGGCUACGGCUCAACCGUAGUAAGCCUUUGAAACUGGGAAACUUGAGUGCAGGAGAGGAGAGUGGAAUUCCUAGUGUAGCGGUGAAAUGCGUAGAUAUUAGGAGGAACACCAGUUGCGAAGGCGGCUCUCUGGACUGUAACUGACACUGAGGCACGAAAGAGUGGGGAGCAAACAGGAUUAGAUACCCCGGUAGUCCCUGAGCGGG
RNAcentral lists this ribosomal RNA (281 nucleotides) under uncultured prokaryote. RNAcentral describes it as "partial 16S ribosomal RNA". It matches the Rfam family "Bacterial small subunit ribosomal RNA", at positions 524 to 808 of the family's 1533-position model. The record is from RNAcentral.